RNAcentral lists this ribosomal RNA (303 nucleotides) under uncultured bacterium. RNAcentral describes it as "partial 16S ribosomal RNA". It matches the Rfam family "Bacterial small subunit ribosomal RNA", at positions 507 to 808 of the family's 1533-position model. The record is from RNAcentral.
AGCAGUCGCCGCGGUAAUACGUAGGUCCCGAGCGUUGUCCGGAUUUAUUGGGCGUAAAGCGAGCGCAGGCGGUUAGAUAAGUCUGAAGUUAAAGGCUGUGGCUUAACCAUAGUACGCUUUGGAAACUGUUUAACUUGAGUGCAAGAGGGGAGAGUGGAAUUCCAUGUGUAGCGGUGAAAUGCGUAGAUAUAUGGAGGAACACCGGUGGCGAAAGCGGCUCUCUGGCUUGUAACUGACGCUGAGGCUCGAAAGCGUGGGGAGCAAACAGGAUUAGAUACCCCUGUAGUCCCUGUCUCUUAUACA